GGGAUGUAGGGAAGCUACAAAGGCGAACAUUGGUUAAAUACCCAAUGAAGCUGGCUCAGUCAACCAGUUCAAACAGAACACAGCCUCGAAGGGAAGGGCCAUAUUUGUGGGCCUGUCUAACAAUUAAGAGUGACCACAUGGAAUGGGGGAUGAAAGGGUUAAAGAAGAACAAAUAUUGAACACAGCUUUUCUAUGAACAAACUGCAGGCAGCUGCUGCUUUGCAAGGGGAACUUCUUGGCUGCCAUUUCUGGAUGUCAAGGCUGCAGAUACACUGGUCAGGACCCUGGGUAGAGAGAGAUGCGUCAGAAUGCGGCUCCUUUCAGAAAGGCUUCUCCGGAGGUCAGCACUCGGGCAAAAGGCUGUGUGUGAUGUGUUUGGGAACACAAAGAAAAACCCUUUGAAAAGAUUCAGCACGUUGCCAUGGAGAACAUCCCACUGAAGGAAUGUAUAGAAGUAGCAGGUGUCAGCUGCCUACCAGUUGCUUUCAUCUCUAGAAAUCUGUGACUUGCAGUAUGACAAGAACAAAAGGUGACAAUACAAAGGACAAAGGGCAAGGAAUACAGACGGAGAAGCCGCUUAGAGUCUAGGAUGGCAGAGGUUCUCUUGAUCAUUUCAUUUUUGAGCGCUUGUAGAGCUUUGGUGUACCAGAGGUGCUUGAACAGCUUACCACACCACAGAUGAAUGGCCUUUGGAUUUCUCCUAAGAAAAUGUGGCUACCUGAAAUUCAACUCCAUUUUCUGGUCUUCAAUAUUUCUUUUGUGUUCAGUUUGCCAGCUGAGGAGAAGUGGCUAAGCAUAGCCUGUUACUGAUGCUAAAGCCCAAGUUCUGAACCUAACAACUCCAGCAACAUGAUCCUGUUUCAAGAGACAAAAAAGUGACUAAUGAAAGAAAACAAUUGAUGUGCUAUGUAGAGUUUAAAAGAAGGUAAAGAGAAUAAAUUAAAAGCAACAACUCUCUUCUUGACAA
This 967-nucleotide long non-coding RNA is filed under the name Mus musculus (house mouse). RNAcentral's name for it is "predicted gene 14461". Lineage: Eukaryota; Metazoa; Chordata; Mammalia; Rodentia; Muridae. The record is from RNAcentral.